CCAGAGGGCCGGGCGGCCGCGGUGCUCGCCAGAGCAACGAGGAAAGUCCGGGCUCCACGGAACAGCGGUGCCGGGUAACGCCCGGCCGGGGGGUUCGACUCCCGAGGGAAAGUGCCACAGAAAGCAUACCGCCCGGCUUCGGACGGGUAAGGUCGAAAGGGUGCGGCAAGAGCGCACCGCGGGGGCGGCAACGUCCCUGGCACGGUAAACCCCACCGGGUGCAAGACCGAAUAGGGGCGGCACAUGGGCCUUGUUCCGGCUCGCCGCCCGGGUUGGUUGCUGGAGGGGCGGGGCAACCCGCCUCCUAGAGGAAUGGUCGCCGCUCCUUCGGGAGUACAGAACCCGGCUUACAGGCCCUCUGGCUGU
Molecule: RNase P RNA, 366 nt
Filed under: Pseudomonadota bacterium
Lineage: Bacteria; Pseudomonadati; Pseudomonadota
Description: RNase P RNA component class A
Rfam family: Bacterial RNase P class A
About the family: Ribonuclease P (RNase P) is a ubiquitous endoribonuclease, found in archaea, bacteria and eukarya as well as chloroplasts and mitochondria.
Source: RNAcentral